GAUGAAGAACGCAGCGAAAUGCGAUAAGUAAUGUGAAUUGCAGAAUUCAGUGAAUCAUCGAAUCUUUGAACGCAUCUUGCGCUCCUUGGUAUUCUGAGGAGCAUGCCUGUUUGAGUGUCAUUAAAUUCUCAACUACACUGACUUUGAAUUGGUGUGGCUUGGAUUUGGGGGGAAAAUUGUUGUGGGCUUUUUGUAUAGUCUGCUCCCCUGAAAUUGAUUAGCGGUACCUUUGUGGAACUGUCUACAGGUGUGAUAAUUAUCUACAUCUUAGACAUCUGCUGGAAUGCUGCUCUCUAAACCUUCCUUGUAUUGACAAUCUUGACCUCAAAUCAGGUAGGACUACCCGCUGAACUUAAGCAUAUCAAUAAGCGGAGGA
RNAcentral lists this unclassified non-coding RNA (376 nucleotides) under soil metagenome. RNAcentral's name for it is "partial contains 5.8S ribosomal RNA, internal transcribed spacer 2, and large subunit ribosomal RNA". The stretch from base 1 to 120 matches the Rfam family "5.8S ribosomal RNA", at positions 35 to 154 of the family's 154-position model. The record is from RNAcentral.